Molecule: long non-coding RNA, 355 nt
Organism: Haliotis rubra (blacklip abalone)
Lineage: Eukaryota; Metazoa; Mollusca; Gastropoda; Lepetellida; Haliotidae
Exons: 2
Source: RefSeq, a predicted model, not a curated record
AACAGACCCUCAUCUGAUAUUCAUUUUAAAUGCAAAUCUUUUCAGAUAUAAGGACUGUCCACCUUCAAAUUUACCACUACUAUAACAUCUUACAAGUCGGUCUCCGGUACUGAGCGGAGAAUGGAAAUAUUGGAUGUGAUGGACACUUCUAACAUAUUUUGAGGUAGCUGCACUAGAAGAUCGGACCCCUGGAUGACUGUGUACAAAGCACCAAGACACCGAUAUCACUAUUGGCAAUGUUCAAGGCUGUGAUGGAGGGCAGACUCAAGAGAGACGGGGCACAAAGUUACAAUUAUUGCAUUUUCAUUUUGUCAUUAACACAUCUACAAUAAAUAUAUGAGACACCAAACCCUCA